CCUACGGGUGGCUGCAGUGGGGAAUAUUGGACAAUGGGGGGAACCCUGAUCCAGCCAUGCCGCGUGUGUGAAGAAGGCCCUCGGGUUGUAAAGCACUUUCAGUGAGGAAGAACGCCUGGUGGUUAAUACCCAUCAGGAAAGACAUCACUCACAGAAGAAGCACCGGCUAACUCCGUGCCAGCAGCCGCGGUAAUACGGAGGGUGCGAGCGUUAAUCGGAAUUACUGGGCGUAAAGCGCGCGUAGGUGGCUUGAUAAGCCGGUUGUGAAAGCCCCGGGCUCAACCUGGGAACGGCAUCCGGAACUGUCAAGCAAGGGGGGAGGAGAGGAAGGUAGACGCACCGGGGUAGCGGGGAUAUGGGAGGAGAUAGGGAGGAAAACAGGUGGCGAGGGGGGCCUUCUGGACUGGCACUAACCCUGAGGUGCGAAAGCGUGGGUAGCAACCAGAAUUAGAUCCCCGUGUAGUC
RNAcentral lists this ribosomal RNA (465 nucleotides) under Vreelandella stevensii. RNAcentral describes it as "partial 16S ribosomal RNA". It matches the Rfam family "Bacterial small subunit ribosomal RNA", at positions 338 to 795 of the family's 1533-position model. Lineage: Bacteria; Pseudomonadati; Pseudomonadota; Gammaproteobacteria; Oceanospirillales; Halomonadaceae. The record is from RNAcentral.